AAGCGCGCGUAGGUGGUUUGUUAAGUUGGAUGUGAAAUCCCCGGGCCUCAACCUGGGAACUGCAUUCAAAACUGACUGACUAGAGUAUGGUAGAGGGUGGUGGAAUUUCCUGUGUAGCGGUGAAAUGCGUAGAUAUAGGAAGGAACACCAGUGGCGAAGGCGACCACCUGGACUAAUACUGACACUGAGGUGCGAAAGCGUGGGGAGCAAACAGGAUUAGAUACCCCUGU
Molecule: ribosomal RNA, 230 nt
Filed under: uncultured bacterium
Lineage: Bacteria
Description: partial 16S ribosomal RNA
Rfam family: Bacterial small subunit ribosomal RNA
Source: RNAcentral